GACGAACGCUGGCGGCGUGCUUAACACAUGCAAGUCGAACGGAAAGGCCCCUUUGGGGGUACUCGAGUGGCGAACGGGUGAGUAACACGUGAGUAACCUGCCCUUGACUUCGGGAUAACUUUAGGAAACUGGGGCUAAUACCGGAUAGGAAUCCUUGCUGCAUGGUGGGGGUUGGAACGCUUCGGCGGCUUGGGAUGGACUCGCGGCCUAUCAGCUUGUUGGUGGGGUAGUGGCUUACCAAGGCUUUGACGGGUAGCCGGACUGAGGGGGCGACCGGCCACAGUGGGACUGAGAUACGGCCCAGACUCCUACGGGAGGCAGCAGUGGGGAAGAUUGCACAAUGGGCGGAAGCCUGAUGCAGCAACGCCGCGUGCGGGAGGACGGCCUACGGGUUGUAAGCCGCUUUCAGCAGGGGCGAAGCUUGUGGUGACGGUACCUGCAGAAGAAGCACCGGCUAACUACGUG
This 465-nucleotide ribosomal RNA is filed under the name uncultured bacterium. Its description in RNAcentral is "partial 16S ribosomal RNA". It matches the Rfam family "Bacterial small subunit ribosomal RNA", at positions 28 to 507 of the family's 1533-position model. The record is from RNAcentral.